CGGAAAUGAUACAAGCGCCCCUCUGGUCGAUAACGACUUCCCAGUUAAAUCUUUAUGUAGUGGUCAAAAAAGGUAUUACAGUUUACUGAAACGCCACCAGGUGAAGUCAAUUCACCUUAAUUAAAAGUCGAUCAAACGAUUAGAUGUGGACGUUUAACUUUGAAGUCGGUUGAUACUGUGACAAGAAGAAAAAGUUAUUAAAAUGAAACAAACGUUGGAGUUGACGAACGUUAAAAGUCCGCCGCGGCGUUGCUUUGCCAACGAUGGUUGCUAACAAGCUGAAGCUAACUGUCAACAAACAAACAAAUAAACAAACAACUUCACCUUCAUGGGUGAAAGCGGAGAGGACUUCGACAGUAAAUCUUAAUGGGGGUGAUGUGAAAAUGGCUGGAGCUCCAAAGUUGUCUGGAAAUCCACCUGGCGAACUGUCGGGACAAAAGCUCAAGAAAGUGCUGGUUUUGGUCUGAACACCUCCCAGUUGCCAGGGUUUAUGUAGCGACGAUCGACCUUAACCCCUUGUGAUCCUGCACACAAGAGUUCAGUAAAGGACACAUGGCAGCCCAAUGAGACAACAGGACAACAGAAGCAUUCAACAGCUGCAGGAUUUCUCAUUCUCGGAUGAAAAAUGGUGAGUAAUCUCAGAUUGCUUUGGGGAAAUUCUACUUGAAAAGACGACCUCUGUGGAAUUUCACUGAUUUACAACGGACAUGAAACCUUAAAAGAAGCUGCAUCUGAUGUGUCUCAUCCAUGUCCUGAUGAGUAGACACUAACGCUGACUGCAUGACUCAGGAACUGUGGGAACUGGUCCUCCUGAACUACAACCGCUUUCAUGCAUCCAAAACCACAGAAGGUAAAGUACUUAUUCUGCACACAAGUGGUGCUGAAGUCUCUUUUUGAAGACGGACAGCACAAACCACUGUAUCCUUCCUGCUGUUGUCAGGUGGCUGGAAGACCAGAAAGGCCUUCACAGCUUGGAGGACAAACCCCUCCUUCAGUUUCAACUGAAAUCUUACUGCGUGUUUCAUUUCUGCUACAUCAAACAUAUCGGAAUAAAUCCAAGAAUGCAGUGAAGUGCCACUUUGAUUAACAACUGGUGCUAAAGAAGUCAUAUGGCUGUGAAGAUAUUGAACUGUUAGCUGCAUCUAUGCUACGUACCCGUGGAAUUUUACGUUAUUCACCGACUGAGACUCUGGACUGCACUCUUUGCUUUAUUGUAUCGUAUUUCUUGCAUAAUAUGCAUCUUCCACAACAACUUCUUGCAUAAAGGUCACAGAUGACCAACUAGUAACAACCAAAAGAUUAGCUUUCCUGUUGAAAUAUCCAACAUGAACAUCUUGUCCUCCAACUUUGUGUGUUUAACGAAGCGCCAAACAAACUUUCAGACGAGGAGUGUCCAGCUGACAUCAUGAUGCAGCACAGAUGGCUAAUAAUCUGCAAAAAUCUGGGCCCUGUAAAGCCUCAGCAGGCCCCUUUUCCUUCUUAUACAUCCACUGUUGCACUUAGUUACUAAACAAGCCCAUGUAUCUGCUGUUGUUUGGACAAGUACCAGUGAAGUGCUCUUCUUCCUCGCCGUACUGUGAGAAACUGAUGAUGCAGUCAGAAAGAAAUCUUUAAGUUUUACGUUGGUUAGUUUUACUGUGCCUACCAACACCACAUUUUCCAUUAUCCGCAUUUCCACAAAAAAUCUUUAUUCUUAUCUUUAUUCUUUCUUUUAAUAUUAAUGAAAUAUUAAUGUCUAAAAAGAUGGACUAAAGAUUUUUUUUAAUUAUAAAAGAAGGAGGAAAUGUGAUUAGUUGGAUUUCAGCCCUUUCAAUCUGCGCUUUUGUAUUUCCCUAUUAUGUGUUUCUAAUUUAUUUUUCAGAAUAACCAGCACUACUUAAAAUGUUUUAUUUGAAGUACUUGGCUGCAGGUAAACUAAUCAAGUGCAACAACAGAGAUUUACUUAUUAAUUUGAACCACUGACAUAACUAUGACUCAUUAAAGCGUUGUCUUCACCAACCAAUAACACAGAAGUAGCUCUACAGAGUUUCAUUUUCAAAUACAGAGAAGACAACAUGAAAGAUGUCCAGAAGAAUUUCUGAUGAGAUCAAUUCAACCAGAACAACUAUUCCUCCACUAUGUGUAAAGCGUUUACACGUCUUCACUUAAUCCUGUUCAAAUGUGAACACUUCCAUGUGCCUCUGAAUAAUGUUUGUUGUUGUCUUUAUCAUUUUGGAGCCUCACUUUAAAAAAAAAAACACGUAAACAACCAUCCUCAAACAUGCCAUGGUUUCUUGACACUGCAUCUCCAGUGCUUCCAUGAUUAUGUUUAUACCCACUGGUGGUCAAAACCCUGAAAUUGCUUCACUGGAUUUUGCUUAUUUGGAGCCAUUUGAGGGGCAGUAACUCAGCAUGGCAAAAACCAUCACACGGGAAUCAAGAACUGAUAAUGUGAGAGAGCAAAUGACUGUGUUCCGUGAUCACACAGAGUCAGCACAAAGGCAGCGACUCUCAACCCAUCCUAGACCGUGCUGUAAAUAAAAGCAUCCAAACGUCCCUGAGAAGCCGUCGCUCUGAACCAGAUGCUUCUCUUCAUCAGCUGUCAAUUGAGUCCUUUAGCAGAAACCUGAAGACUGAACAACAGAGUUAAUUCACUGAGCCUCAGCGUGACAAAGUCCCUCUCCCUGCUCACCAUGAAAUCAAUAGACGAAUAGAUGCUACAUUAGAAAAUGGAGCAAAGUGUCGUCACUGUCAAGAUAUUAUUUGGUCAGUGUGAGAUACUUCCAUCCAUUCUCUGAUCUGAUUGCAGCCUCUAAAGAAUUCCUCUGCAGGAUUUUUCUUGUUGCUGCUGCCUCUGUGUCCACGUGUUUCUGUGCUGGAAGCAAAAAAAAAAAAAAAAAGGCAGCGAGAGGAGGUUGUCACAGCGAGCGCAAAAACAGAGCAGACGAGCCACUUAACAGCACUAUACCCAACUGGUGCAAGGGAGCGAGAGGAAAAUCCAGCCAUGCCAGCGUGCCAAUAUAGUUUACCAGCUCGCUGAGAGGCGGGCAGCACCUGACAGAUGCCACUUGGAGCAUAAUUCCAGUGGGCUGAAAAGAUCCUCUACAUGACGGGAAGCCAGAGAAGCGGGAGGAGACCGGAAUACCCAACAACUAAACGCAGUGUUAAUGUUGUCUGUGCAUCUAUUGCAUCCAUUCCUUCCUGUUUUACUGUGUUUAGAAGCUGAGGAAACAAAAUGCAAAGAAAAAACUGAUGCUGUUAAUAAAUGGUGACUUGUUUCAGAUCUCAAUAUGUUCAGAUUUACUGUGUUUCUUUGUCUUGUGUGAUAAUAAACGGAAUAUCUUGAUGUUUUGCAAGUGAUUUCAAUAUUUUGCCUUCAGCUCUGGGGGGAAUGGGAUGAACAUUUCUUUUUAUUUUAUCACACUUAAUAACCC
This is a long non-coding RNA of Amphiprion ocellaris (clown anemonefish), 3413 nucleotides long. The record is from Ensembl. Lineage: Eukaryota; Metazoa; Chordata; Actinopteri; Pomacentridae.